Drosophila navojoa is the source of this 239-nucleotide long non-coding RNA. Lineage: Eukaryota; Metazoa; Arthropoda; Insecta; Diptera; Drosophilidae. The record is from RefSeq and is a predicted model, not a curated record.
AACAACAAGUGCAACUGCAGCAGCAGCAGCAGCACAACAACAGCAACAGCAAACGGCAAUAAAAAUAAAUCAUUUAAAAAACGCCGCGCCAAAAGAAUUUGCCAAAUUACGCGUUCAUUUCUUUGCCAGCGCUGCUCGUGCAUUGACCGAAUUUUAACAGCAGCCGCAGCAGCAGCAGCAGCAGCAACAGCCACAAACAACAGCAACAAACAACAGCAGUUGCCAAAAUGGAUGCAGAG